Non-coding RNA from Glossina austeni, 148 nucleotides. The record is from Rfam. Lineage: Eukaryota; Metazoa; Arthropoda; Insecta; Diptera; Glossinidae.
CUUGCGGCUUGAUCGAAGACCAUUUGAAAUUGAUUUACUACAUUGAAAUGGUUCAAAAAUAAGCCUAGAGCAAGAUUUUGUAACGACGGUCACUGCUUUAUGUAAUAUCAAAGUCGUAUUGCGGUAACUUUUACGUGCAAUUACAGUU